RNAcentral lists this ribosomal RNA (499 nucleotides) under uncultured bacterium. RNAcentral's name for it is "partial 16S ribosomal RNA". It matches the Rfam family "Bacterial small subunit ribosomal RNA", at positions 28 to 507 of the family's 1533-position model. The record is from RNAcentral.
GACGAACGCUGGCGGCGUGCCUAAUACAUGCCAGUCGAGCGAAGUUUUUCUGGUGCUUGCACUAGAAAAACUUAGCGGCGAACGGGUGAGUAACACGUAAAGAACCUGCCUCAUAGACUGGGACAACUAUUGGAAACGAUAGCUAAUACCGGAUAACAGUAUUUCUCGCAUGAGAGAUAUUUAAAAGUUGGUUAUGCUAACACUAUGAGAUGGCUUUGCGGUGCAUUAGCUAGUUGGUGGGGUAAAGGCCCACCAAGGCGACGAUGCAUAGCCGACCUGAGAGGGUGAUCGGCCACACUGGGACUGAGACACGGCCCAGACUCCUACGGGAGGCAGCAGUAGGGAAUCUUCCGCAAUGGGCGAAAGCCUGACGGAGCAACGCCGCGUGAGUGAAGAAGGAUUUCGGUUCGUAAAGCUCUGUUGUUAGGGAAGAAUGGAUAUGUAGUAACUAUACAUGUAAGAGACGGUACCUAACCAGAAAGCCACGGCUAACUACGUG